Molecule: long non-coding RNA, 884 nt
Filed under: Sorghum bicolor (sorghum)
Lineage: Eukaryota; Viridiplantae; Streptophyta; Magnoliopsida; Poales; Poaceae
Description: long non-coding RNA (SBIC_LNC018841)
Source: RNAcentral
GUGCGUCUCCUCCCCUUUAUGCCCGCGCCUCCGUGUACGGCCCGCCCAUAGCUCCUUCGACGGCGCCGCCUAGGAACGCGGAGAAAAUAUGACAAAGGAACGGCCAAAAAUAAAAAGAAAGACCUUUCUUUUGAAAAAACAAACAAAAAAAAGGAAUGCAACACGAGGACUUCCCAGGAGGUCACCCAUCCUAGUACUACUCUCGCCCAAGCACGCUUAACUUUGGAGUUCUGAUGGGAUCCGGUGCUUUAGUGCUGGUAUGAUCGCAUCCGACAUACCGUGCGUUCUCCUCCCCUUUAUGCCCGCGCCUCCGUGUACGGCCCGCCCAUAGCUCCUUCGACGGCGCCGCCUAGGAACGCGGAGAAAAUAUGACAAAGGAACGGCAAAAAUAAAAAGAAAGACCUUUCUUUUGAAAAAACAAACAAAAAAAAGGAAUGCAACACGAGGACUUCCCAGGAGGUCACCCAUCCUAGUACUACUCUCGCCCAAGCACGCUUAACUUCGGAGUUCUGAUGGGAUCCGGUGCUUUAGUGCUGGUAUGAUCGCAUCCGACAUACCGUGCGUUCUCCUCCCCUUUAUGCCCGCGCCUCCGUGUACGGCCCGCCCAUAGCUCCUUCGACGGCGCCGCCUAGGAACGCGGACGAACAAUUAUGACAAAGGAACGGCCAAAAAUACAAAGAAAGACCUUUCUUUUGAAAAAACAAACAAAAACCAGGAAUGCAACACGAAGGGACUUCCCAGGCAGGUCACCCCAUCCUAGUUACUACUCUCGCCCAAGCACGCUUAACUUCGGAGUUCUGAUGGGAUCCGGUGCUUUAGUGCUGGUAUGAUCGCAUCCCGACAUACCGUGCGUUCUCCUCCCCUUUAUGCCCGCGCCUCCGUGU